Molecule: ribosomal RNA, 1359 nt
Filed under: uncultured bacterium
Lineage: Bacteria
Description: bacterial SSU rRNA
Rfam family: Bacterial small subunit ribosomal RNA
Source: RNAcentral
GAAUGAACGCUAGCUACAGGCUUAACACAUGCAAGUCGAGGGGCAGCAUGGUCUUAGCUUGCUAAGGCCGAUGGCGACCGGCGCACGGGUGAGUAACACGUAUCCAACCUGCCGUCUACUCUUGGACAGCCUUCUGAAAGGAAGAUUAAUACAAGAUGGCAUCAUGAGUCCGCAUGUUCACAUGAUUAAAGGUAUUCCGGUAGACGAUGGGGAUGCGUUCCAUUAGAUAGUAGGCGGGGUAACGGCCCACCUAGUCUUCGAUGGAUAGGGGUUCUGAGAGGAAGGUCCCCCACAUUGGAACUGAGACACGGUCCAAACUCCUACGGGAGGCAGCAGUGAGGAAUAUUGGUCAAUGGGCGAGAGCCUGAACCAGCCAAGUAGCGUGAAGGAUGACUGCCCUAUGGGUUGUAAACUUCUUUUAUAAAGGAAUAAAGUCGGGUAUGGAUACCCGUUUGCAUGUACUUUAUGAAUAAGGAUCGGCUAACUCCGUGCCAGCAGCCGCGGUAAUACGGAGGAUCCGAGUGUUAUCCGGAUUUAUUGGGUUUAAAGGGAGCGUAGAUGGAUGUUUAAGUCAGUUGUGAAAGUUUGCGGCUCAACCGUAAAAUUGCAGUUGAUACUGGAUAUCUUGAGUGCAGUUGAGGCAGGCGGAAUUCGUGGUGUAGCGGUGAAAUGCUUAGAUAUCACGAAGAACUCCGAUUGCGAAGGCAGCCUGCUAAGCUGCAACUGACAUUGAGGCUCGAAAGUGUGGGUAUCAAACAGGAUUAGAUACCCUGGUAGUCCACACGGUAAACGAUGAAUACUCGCUGUUUGCGAUAUACUGCAAGCGGCCAAGCGAAAGCGUUAAGUAUUCCACCUGGGGAGUACGCCGGCAACGGUGAAACUCAAAGGAAUUGACGGGGGCCCGCACAAGCGGAGGAACAUGUGGUUUAAUUCGAUGAUACGCGAGGAACCUUACCCGGGCUUAAAUUGCAGAUGAAUUACGGUGAAAGCCGUAAGCCGCAAGGCAUCUGUGAAGGUGCUGCAUGGUUGUCGUCAGCUCGUGCCGUGAGGUGUCGGCUUAAGUGCCAUAACGAGCGCAACCCUUGUUGUCAGUUACUAACAGGUUCCGCUGAGGACUCUGACAAGACUGCCAUCGUAAGAUGUGAGGAAGGUGGGGAUGACGUCAAAUCAGCACGGCCCUUACGUCCGGGGCCACACACGUGUUACAAUGGGGGGUACAGAGGGCCGCUACCACGCGAGUGGAUGCCAAUCCCCAAAACCUCUCUCAGUUCGGACUGGAGUCUGCAACCCGACUCCACGAAGCUGGAUUCGCUAGUAAUCGCGCAUCAGCCACGGCGCGGUGAAUACGUUCCCGGGCCU